GUUGCAUCAACUUCAACAUCACAACAACAUGCUGAAAAUCAGAGCGAUAAUACUGAUGAAGUUGCGGCAACUGAACCUACCGUACAUACUCAUUCUGACUCUUGUACAACACAAUCAGCAGCUGGUUCAGCCGAGCAACACCAUGCUGAAAAUCAAAGUGAUGACAUUGAGAUGGAAAGACUUACAGUUUCUACAGCACAAUCAGCAGCUAAUUCAACAGAGCAGCAAUGUGCUGCUGAGAUAAGCAAUGCUGAUGAUACUACUGUGAGUCAUAGUUGUUUUUUUUGUGGUAAAAGCAGAAAAAAAGUAAAAGGCCGCGAGGAACAGUUAUUUGUACUUACGAAGUCA
Molecule: long non-coding RNA, 348 nt
Organism: Anthonomus grandis grandis
Lineage: Eukaryota; Metazoa; Arthropoda; Insecta; Coleoptera; Curculionidae
Exons: 4
Source: RefSeq, a predicted model, not a curated record